GCCAGCGGAGACGCAGGUGUGCCUUCGGGAGCUCUGAGACAGGUGCUGCAUGGCUGUCGUCAGCUCGUGUUGUGAAAUGUUGGGUUAAGUCCCGCAACGAGCGCAACCCUUAUCCUUGUUUGCCAGCGAGUAAUGUCGGGAACUCCAGGGAGACUGCCGGUGAUAAACCGGAGGAAGGUGGGGACGACGUCAAGUCAUCAUGGCCCUUACGAGUAGGGCUACACACGUGCUACAAUGGCGCAUACAGAGGGCAGCAAGCUAGCGAUAGUGAGCGAAUCCCAAAAAGUGCGUCGUAGUCCGGAUUGGAGUCUGCAACUCGACUCCAUGAAGUCGGAAUCGCUAGUAAUCGUGAAUCAGAAUGUCACGGUGAAUACGUUCCCGGGCCUUGUACACACCGCCCGUCACACCAUGGGAGUGGGCUGCAAAAGAAGUGGGUAGUUUAACCUUUCGGGGAGGACGCUCACCACUUUGUGGUUCAUGACUGGGGUGAAGUCGUAACAAGGUAGCCCUAGGGGAACCUGGGGCUGGAUCACCUCCUUA
This 540-nucleotide ribosomal RNA is filed under the name Vibrio splendidus 12B01. RNAcentral's name for it is "bacterial SSU rRNA". It matches the Rfam family "Bacterial small subunit ribosomal RNA", at positions 996 to 1533 of the family's 1533-position model. The record is from RNAcentral. Lineage: Bacteria; Pseudomonadati; Pseudomonadota; Gammaproteobacteria; Vibrionales; Vibrionaceae.